Molecule: transfer RNA, 59 nt
Filed under: Jatropha curcas
Lineage: Eukaryota; Viridiplantae; Streptophyta; Magnoliopsida; Malpighiales; Euphorbiaceae
Rfam family: tRNA
About the family: Transfer RNA (tRNA) molecules are approximately 80 nucleotides in length. Their secondary structure includes four short double-helical elements and three loops (D, anti-codon, and T loops).
Source: Rfam by way of RNAcentral
UAACUCAAUUGGUUAGAGCGUUGGUCUUAUGAACCAAAGGUUGCGGGUUUGAGUCCUUU